UGGGGAAUAUUGCGCAAUGGGGGCAACCCUGACGCAGCAAUACCGCGUGAGUGAAGAAGGUUUUCGGAUCGUAAAGCUCUGUUAUUGGGGAAGAAAAAAAGACGGUACCCAAGAAGAAAGUCCCGGCUAACUACGUGCCAGCAGCCGCGGUAAUACGUAGGGGACAAGCGUUGUCCGGAUUUACUGGGCGUAAAGGGCACGCAGGCGGUUUUUUAAGUCAGAUGUGAAAGGUACCGGCUCAACCGGUGACAUGCAUUUGAAACUGAAAGACUUGAGUAUUGGAGAGGCAAGUGGAAUUCCUAGUGUAGCGGUGAAAUGCGUAGAUAUUAGGAGGAACACCGGUGGCGAAGGCGAUCUACUGGAACAUUAUUGACGCUGAGGCAUG
RNAcentral lists this ribosomal RNA (385 nucleotides) under uncultured bacterium. RNAcentral's name for it is "bacterial SSU rRNA". It matches the Rfam family "Bacterial small subunit ribosomal RNA", at positions 355 to 755 of the family's 1533-position model. The record is from RNAcentral.